UCGAUUGAGUUUGAUCCUGGCUCAGAACGAACGUUAGCGGCGCGCCUAACACAUGCAAGUCGAGCGAGAAAGGGCUUCGGCCCCGGUAAAGCGGCGCACGAGUGAGUAACACGUGGGUAACCUGCCCUCGGGUCGGGGAUAACAUUCCGAAAGGAGUGCUAAUACCGGAUAAGACCACGACCUCGAAAGAGGAAGCGGUCAAAGCUGGCCUCUAUAUAUAAGCUAGCGCCUGAGGAUGGGCCCGCGGCGCAUCAUGGUAGUUGGUGAGGUAAUGGCUCACCAAGCCGAAGACGCGUAGCUGGUCUGAGAGGAUGAUCAGCCACACUGGAACUGAGACACGGUCCAGACUCCUACGGGAGGCAGCAGUGGGGAAUCUUGCGCAAUGGGCGAAAGCCUGACGCAGCGACGCCGCGUGAGUGAUGAAGGCCUUCGGGUUGUAAAGCUCUGUGGGGGGAGACGAAUAAGUGCAAGCUAAUACCUUGCAUGAUGACGGUAUCCCCUUAGCAAGCACCGGCUAACUCUGUGCCAGCAGCCGCGGUAAGACAGAGGGUGCAAACGUUGUUCGGAAUUACUGGGCGUAAAGCGAGUGUAGGCGGUUUCCUAAGUCGGAUGUGAAAGCCCCGGGCUCAACCCGGGAAGUGCACUCGAUACUGGGGAGGCUAGAGUAUCGGAGAGGUUG
This 679-nucleotide ribosomal RNA is filed under the name uncultured bacterium. RNAcentral describes it as "bacterial SSU rRNA". It matches the Rfam family "Bacterial small subunit ribosomal RNA", at positions 1 to 660 of the family's 1533-position model. The record is from RNAcentral.